Molecule: unclassified non-coding RNA, 368 nt
Filed under: uncultured fungus
Lineage: Eukaryota; Fungi
Description: sequence contains ITS1
Source: RNAcentral
AAAACGCGAUAAAGUGUUGUGAUGUGCAGUCUUUGAGAAUGAUGAGUAUUUGAACGCACCUUGCACCAUGCUGUAGCAAUACACGUGGUAUGCCUGUUUGAGCAGGGAAAGGAAAUGAACGAGUACGUAGUACGAUGUUCGGAAUGGAGCGUAGGUGAGAGUGCGUAGUGUGUACGAUGCAAAUCUGCACACUCUACACUCCACACACCUUGCUCUGGAAAAUAGCUGGUGGGCGUGAUGAAUGAAUCGAGCUUGCAUUGUUCUUGGGAUAAUCCCAGCAAGAACGGCAACUUCCUUUUCACAUACACCCACCCAACACACCACUACAUUAUCCUCUCAAAUCAGGCAAGAUGACCCGCUGAACUUAA